RNAcentral lists this long non-coding RNA (627 nucleotides) under Homo sapiens (human). RNAcentral's name for it is "long intergenic non-protein coding RNA 929". The record is from RNAcentral. Lineage: Eukaryota; Metazoa; Chordata; Mammalia; Primates; Hominidae.
AACCUCCAGACCCUCUCGCCGUGGCUUAGAGGUGUCUCUGACAACGUGGCACACUGGGAAGGCCUUCUUUCCUGCUACCAAUACAAAUGCAUUCUGAAUUUGAUAUGUCAUUAAAUGUAAAAAUACAGCCAAUUUGAAACAAGCAAAUGGAAAUUCCCAGGAACCAAAAACAGAAAGAAAAAUCAGAGCUACCGCAGUGCUGUCCCUGCAGACAGAAUUUGGGAGAGGUACUCAGAGUCACCUCCUGUGAGCCUAUGCAAGCCAGCUCCUGCACAACCCUGGUUUUAGUCCAGCCUUCUGCAGAAUUCCACAUUAAACAGGAUGAAGAAUAGGUUGUUAGCAGACUGAGGUACUUGGGGCAACAUUUCGUACACAACAGGAGGGAGAAACGACUCCAGGUUGUCUUGUGGUAGAGGAGAUUUUGCCUUGCAAUUUUACAUACUUAUGCUACGUGGAAGGCUGGGUGGCGUGACUUCAGGUUUUGCAAAAGUCUCAUGAAUCAUCCCUUCCUGUGGUCCUGCUCCCUGAGAUCCUUUCACCGCUCACAGUGGGCUACUUCUAAGAGCGUGCCUGGCACAGGGUCACUGAGAGCAUAGUCUUAAUAAAACAAUGAUGGAUGCUUGUCUC